GACGAACGCUGGCGGCGUGCUUAACACAUGCAAGUCGAACGGAAAGACCCUGCUUUUGUGGGGUGCUCGAGUGGCGAACGGGUGAGUAACACGUGAGUAACCUGCCCUUGACUUUGGGAUAACUUCAGGAAACUGGGGCUAAUAUCGGAUAGGAGCUCCUGCUGCACGGUGGGGGUUGGAAAGUUUCGGCGGUUGGGGAUGGACUCGCGGGUUAUCAGCUUGUUGGUGGGGUAGUGGCUUACCAAGGCUUUGACGGGUAGCCGGCCUGAGAGGGUGACCGGCCACAUUGGGACUGAGAUACGGCCCAGACUCCUACGGGAGGCAGCAGUGGGGAGUAUUGCACAAUGGGCGGAAGCCUGAUGCGGCAACGCCGCGUGCGGGAUGACGGCCUUCGGGUUGUAAACCGCUUUCGCCUGUGACGAAGCGGGAGUGACGGUAAUGGGUAAAGAAGCACCGGCUAACUACGUG
RNAcentral lists this ribosomal RNA (468 nucleotides) under uncultured bacterium. Its description in RNAcentral is "partial 16S ribosomal RNA". It matches the Rfam family "Bacterial small subunit ribosomal RNA", at positions 28 to 507 of the family's 1533-position model. The record is from RNAcentral.